This 844-nucleotide ribosomal RNA is filed under the name human gut metagenome. Its description in RNAcentral is "bacterial SSU rRNA". It matches the Rfam family "Bacterial small subunit ribosomal RNA", at positions 9 to 873 of the family's 1533-position model. The record is from RNAcentral.
AGAGUUCGAUCCUGGCUCAGGAUGAACGCUGGCGGCGCGCCUAACACAUGCAAGUCGAACGGCACCCCUCUCCGGAGGGAAGCGAGUGGCGAACGGCUGAGUAACACGUGGAGAACCUGCCCCCUCCCCCGGGAUAGCCGCCCGAAAGGACGGGUAAUACCGGAUACCCCGGGGUGCCGCAUGGCACCCCGGCUAAAGCCCCGACGGGAGGGGAUGGCUCCGCGGCCCAUCAGGUAGACGGCGGGGUGACGGCCCACCGUGCCGACAACGGGUAGCCGGGUUGAGAGACCGACCGGCCAGAUUGGGACUGAGACACGGCCCAGACUCCUACGGGAGGCAGCAGUGGGGAAUCUUGCGCAAUGGGGGGAACCCUGACGCAGCGACGCCGCGUGCGGGACGGAGGCCUUCGGGUCGUAAACCGCUUUCAGCAGGGAAGAGUCAAGACUGUACCUGCAGAAGAAGCCCCGGCUAACUACGUGCCAGCAGCCGCGGUAAUACGUAGGGGGCGAGCGUUAUCCGGAUUCAUUGGGCGUAAAGCGCGCGUAGGCGGCCCGGCAGGCCGGGGGUCGAAGCGGGGGGCUCAACCCCCCGAAGCCCCCGGAACCUCCGCGGCUUGGGUCCGGUAGGGGAGGGUGGAACACCCGGUGUAGCGGUGGAAUGCGCAGAUAUCGGGUGGAACACCGGUGGCGAAGGCGGCCCUCUGGGCCGAGACCGACGCUGAGGCGCGAAAGCUGGGGGAGCGAACAGGAUUAGAUACCCUGGUAGUCCCAGCCGUAAACGAUGGACGCUAGGUGUGGGGGGACGAUCCCCCCGUGCCGCAGCCAACGCAUUAAGCGUCCCGCCU